Molecule: long non-coding RNA, 489 nt
Filed under: Cricetulus griseus (Chinese hamster)
Lineage: Eukaryota; Metazoa; Chordata; Mammalia; Rodentia; Cricetidae
Description: lncRNA (ENSCGRG00015038144.1)
Source: RNAcentral
UCCACUUUUGCCAACUUUUCUCAUUACAUGAGGCUUUAUACAAGGCAUCCUGGACCUCACUCUCCACCCUACCCCCAUGCUCACUGGGGUCACAGUUUCCCAAAUUCUGGAAUUACAGACAUUCAACACCAUGCCUGACAUUGUCAGCCUCAGGUCAACCAGUUUCUGCCACCAGAACGGAGAAAAGAUGGAGGAGGGGCAGUAGAGACUGGACUGCUAUUGGAAAUGAUGAAGCCUCGCUGCAAAUGUGUCAGCCAUGCUAGCCUUCUACCCUCACCCACCAAGUGUCUUUUCUCCACCCCCAUCCCGGGGCAAGGGGCACGGAGGCGGCAGAGGAGGCCCAGUAUGACUGGGACUUUCAGCACCAGUCAGUGGUUGUAUGAGGACAAAUCCCACCUCAUGGCUUUUUCUUAAAAAUCUAUGAUUUGUUUUGCUUCCUAUAAACUUAUUAUUAUUUCAAAAUAAAAAGCUUUUUUUUUCACUACUAAA